Molecule: ribosomal RNA, 907 nt
Filed under: Staphylococcus epidermidis
Lineage: Bacteria; Bacillati; Bacillota; Bacilli; Caryophanales; Staphylococcaceae
Description: bacterial SSU rRNA
Rfam family: Bacterial small subunit ribosomal RNA
Source: RNAcentral
UGGCGGGCUGCAAAUACAUGCAAGUCGAGCGAACAGAUAAGGAGCUUGCUCCUUUGACGUUAGCGGCGGACGGGUGAGUAACACGUGGAUAACCUACCUAUAAGACUGGGAUAACUUCGGGAAACCGGAGCUAAUACCGGAUAACAUAUUGAACCGCAUGGUUCAAUAGUGAAAGGCGGCUUUGCUGUCACUUAUAGAUGGAUCCGCGCCGUAUUAGCUAGUUGGUAAGGUAACGGCUUACCAAGGCAACGAUACGUAGCCGACCUGAGAGGGUGAUCGGCCACACUGGAACUGAGACACGGUCCAGACUCCUACGGGAGGCAGCAGUAGGGAAUCUUCCGCAAUGGGCGAAAGCCUGACGGAGCAACGCCGCGUGAGUGAUGAAGGUCUUCGGAUCGUAAAACUCUGUUAUCAGGGAAGAACAAAUGUGUAAGUAACUGUGCACAUCUUGACGGUACCUGAUCAGAAAGCCACGGCUAACUACGUGCCAGCAGCCGCGGUAAUACGUAGGUGGCAAGCGUUAUCCGGAAUUAUUGGGCGUAAAGCGCGCGUAGGCGGUUUUUUAAGUCUGAUGUGAAAGCCCACGGCUCAACCGUGGAGGGUCAUUGGAAACUGGAAAACUUGAGUGCAGAAGAGGAAAGUGGAAUUCCAUGUGUAGCGGUGAAAUGCGCAGAGAUAUGGAGGAACACCAGUGGCGAAGGCGACUUUCUGGUCUGUAACUGACGCUGAUGUGCGAAAGCGUGGGGAUCAAACAGGAUUAGAUACCCUGGUAGUCCACGCCGUAAACGAUGAGUGCUAAGUGUUAGGGGGUUUCCGCCCCUUAGUGCUGCAGCUAACGCAUUAAGCACUCCGCCUGGGGAGUACGACCGCAAGGUUGAAACUCAAAGGAAUUGACGGGGACCCGCAC